CUACGGGGGGCUGCAGCAGCGGAACUUUUACAAUGCACGAAAGUGUGAUAAAGCGAACCAAAGUGCCUUUCGUUUAGAAAGGCUUUUUCUUAGCGUAAAAACCUAGGAGAAUAAGGACUGGGAAAGAUCGGUGCCAGUCGCCGCGGUAAUACCGACAGUUCAAGUUGCAUCCAGUUUUAUUGGGUCUAAAACAUCCGUAGCUUGGAAUUUAAGUCUCUUGUGAAAUCUCACGUCUCAAGCGUGGUGAAGGGCAGGAGAUACUGGGUUCCUAGAGAUCGGUAGACGUAAGGAGUACGGCCGGGGUAACGGUAAAAUGUGUUAAUCCUGGUUGGACUAACAAUCAGCGAAGGCACCUUACGAGGACGAAUCUGACAGUGAGGGAUGAAGGCCAGGGGCGCAAAACGGAUUAGAUACCCCCGUAGUC
RNAcentral lists this ribosomal RNA (424 nucleotides) under uncultured archaeon. RNAcentral's name for it is "partial 16S ribosomal RNA". It matches the Rfam family "Archaeal small subunit ribosomal RNA", at positions 323 to 746 of the family's 1478-position model. The record is from RNAcentral.